Molecule: long non-coding RNA, 497 nt
Organism: Dermacentor andersoni
Lineage: Eukaryota; Metazoa; Arthropoda; Arachnida; Ixodida; Ixodidae
Source: RefSeq, a predicted model, not a curated record
GGGGGAUCGUGUGGAAGGGGACUUGGGCGGCACAAAACUCCUCGUACUCCUCCCACAAAGACCCUUAGGCCUUGGACUGGCGGAUAACACGUGGACAAGGACAGCAACAUUAGGAAGAAUUCAACGAGAAUCUUCGUGCAACGAACUCGAUCGUGCAGGUGCUGAAGAUCAUCAGACCUGAAGAAACACGCUACAGAUUAUAUGAGGAAUGGUUCACACGCCUUGGCACCCACUCUAAGAAAAACUGCGCAUAAGUGCUUGCUUAGUCCUGCCUAACUAUGAGUUACUGCAUGCCAGUCCAGCUUUUUUACGUGACGUAUCAAAUAUAAAUAAUCGCUCAACCUUUGCACUGCUUUGACAGGCUAUGAUUGUUCAACGAGAGAAAUCAUUAAUAUGGAAUUUGUGAUAGCUAUCCGUAGCAACUUGUGCGUGUAACAUUUUUGUUUCUGCUUUGUUAACGGUAAUGUAAUAAAUGAAUGAACUCCCACAGGAGUAAA